Molecule: unclassified non-coding RNA, 205 nt
Filed under: Hevea brasiliensis (rubber tree)
Lineage: Eukaryota; Viridiplantae; Streptophyta; Magnoliopsida; Malpighiales; Euphorbiaceae
Source: RNAcentral
UUUCAACGCGAGCAGCCAGCGCAAGCAUUCCGAGAGUCAUGACUAUGAUCAGCGCUAUCGCCGUCCAAUGAAGUUUGCCAAUCGGCUCGACGUGCCUGUCCUUGUCCGAUACGGCCAUGUCAUCACCUCGAAAAUCGACACCUCGAAUUCGCGUGAUUCCUGACAGACUCCCCAAUCCUUCACCAUUUGGAAGUUACGUGGGCAG